UAGGGAAUCUUCCGCAAUGGUCGAAAGCCUGACGGAGCAACUCCGCGUGAGUGAUGAAGGUCUUCGGAUUGUAACACUCUGUUAUUAGGGAAGAACAAAUGUGUAAGUAACUAUGCACGUCUUGACGGUACCUAAUCAGAAAUCCACUGCUAACUACGUGCCAGCAGCCUCGGUAAUACGUAGGUGGCAAGCGUUAUCCGUAAUUAUUGGGCGUAAAGCGCGCGUAGGCGGUUUUUUAAGUCUGAUGUGAAAGCCCACGGCUCAACCGUGGAGGGUCAUUGGAAACUGGAAAACUUGAGUGCAGAAGAAGAAAGUGGAAUUCCAUGUGUAGCGGUGAAAUGCGCAGAGAUAUGGAGGAACACCAGUGUCGAAGGCGACUUUCUGGUCUGUAACUGACGCUGAUGUGCGAAAGCGUGGGGAUCAAACAGG
Molecule: ribosomal RNA, 429 nt
Filed under: Actinomycetes bacterium
Lineage: Bacteria; Bacillati; Actinomycetota; Actinomycetes
Description: Actinobacteria bacterium partial 16S ribosomal RNA
Rfam family: Bacterial small subunit ribosomal RNA
Source: RNAcentral